AGAGUUUGAUCCUGGCUCAGGAUAAACGCUGGCGGCGCACAUAAGACAUGCAAGUCGAACGGACUUAACUCAUUCUUUUAGAUUGAGAGCGGUUAGUGGCGGACUGGUGAGUAACACGUAAGCAACCUGCCUAUCAGAGGGGAAUAACAGUGAGAAAUCAUUGCUAAUACCGCAUAAGCUAGUAGCAUCGCAUGAUGUAGCUAGAAAAGGAGCAAUCCGCUGAUAGAUGGGCUUGCGUCUGAUUAGCUAGUUGGUGGGGCAACGGCCUACCAAGGCGACGAUCAGUAGCCGGACUGAGAGGUUGAACGGCCACAUUGGGACUGAGAUACGGCCCAG
RNAcentral lists this ribosomal RNA (336 nucleotides) under uncultured bacterium. Its description in RNAcentral is "bacterial SSU rRNA". It matches the Rfam family "Bacterial small subunit ribosomal RNA", at positions 8 to 334 of the family's 1533-position model. The record is from RNAcentral.